GACGAACGCUGGCGGCGUGCCUAAUACAUGCAAGUAGGACGCAGUUGCGAACGGGUGAGUAACGCGUAGGUAAAUGACUAUUAGAGGGGGAUAACUAUUGGAAACGAUAGCUAAUACCGCAUACUAGUAGAUGGACCUGCGUUGUAUUAGCUAGUAGGUAGGGUAAUGGCCUACCUAGGCGACGAUACAUAGCCGACCUGAGGGGGUGGUCGGGCAAACUGGGACUGGGGAACGGCCCCGACUCCUGCGGGAGGCAACAAGAGGGAAACUUCGGGAAUGGGGGGAAACCUGGCCGGGCAACGCCGCGGGGGUGAAGGAAGUUUUCGGGUCGUAAAGCUCUGUUGUUAAGGGAGCGGUACUUAACCAGAAAGCGACGGCUAACUACGUGCCAGCAGCCGCGGUAAUUC
Molecule: ribosomal RNA, 407 nt
Filed under: uncultured bacterium
Lineage: Bacteria
Description: partial 16S ribosomal RNA
Rfam family: Bacterial small subunit ribosomal RNA
Source: RNAcentral